RNAcentral lists this ribosomal RNA (253 nucleotides) under uncultured bacterium. RNAcentral's name for it is "partial 16S ribosomal RNA". It matches the Rfam family "Bacterial small subunit ribosomal RNA", at positions 524 to 776 of the family's 1533-position model. The record is from RNAcentral.
UACAGAGGGGGCAAGCGUUAUUCGGAAUUAUUGGGCGUAAAGGGCGCGUAGGCGGUUCUUCAAGUCUCUCGUGAAAUCCCUCGGCUUAACUGAGGACGUGCGGGAGAUACUGAAGGGCUUGAGUCCGGAAGAGGGUGGUGGAAUUCCCAGUGUAGCGGUGAAAUGCGUAGAUAUUGGGAGGAACACCGGUGGCGAAGGCGGCCACCUGGGCCGGAACUGACGCUGAGGCGCGAAAGCUAGGGGAGCAAACGGG